This 73-nucleotide transfer RNA is filed under the name Stegodyphus mimosarum. It matches the Rfam family "tRNA". Rfam says of the family: Transfer RNA (tRNA) molecules are approximately 80 nucleotides in length. Their secondary structure includes four short double-helical elements and three loops (D, anti-codon, and T loops). Lineage: Eukaryota; Metazoa; Arthropoda; Arachnida; Araneae; Eresidae. The record is from Rfam by way of RNAcentral.
GCCUUCGUGGUGUAAUGGUCAGCACGCUCGGUGCGUAUUCGAGAGGUCCAGGGUUCGAGUCCUGGCGAGAGCA